GGUUUUACAGUCUUACGGAACCCGCUCAUUUGGACACGUAAACGCGAAACGACACCAUCCCAAGUUCCCAAACCAUCGUCAAAAUUCAUCGUUUUCCCCCAAAUCUCAAGAACCCUUAAGAAAACUUCCGGUUUUACGUUCGACAAUGGGCGGCCAUGAAGCUGUGGAGGUUACCAAGACCGUCCUCGAAGUCGCCGAUGUCGCAUGGGCUGCCUUGGAAUGUUGCCACCGCCACCACCACCACGACCAUCACGACGAUGCUCCCAGAAAUCAUGAGAACUCCAAACUUGAAAAGGAAUUGGAAAUCCUAAAAUCGGAAAACCGACGUUUGAGGAAUCAGCUUGAACAGAACCUUAAACUUCUGAAUAAUCUAUCUGAAUAUCCUGCUCUAUUAAACGAUUGUCCUCCUGACCUCCAUGCUCGGUUGAUGCUACCGUAGAUUCUAAAAACUUCUUGAGCCGGCUCAAAUCACUUAAUGAAUCCAGUACUAAAAUUGAGUUUCCAUUCAAGGAAGCUACAGGAGAUGAUAUACAUUCAGUUGAAGUUCUGAUUAAUGUUGACCAAAAAGAACCAAGUUGGUGGAUAUGGGUAACUGAUGAAAUGGUUCCAAGCAAUGUUGAAGAGUGGAGUGGAAUUGAUGAUGAGAA
This is a long non-coding RNA of Hibiscus syriacus, 647 nucleotides long. RefSeq lists it as uncharacterized. The record is from RefSeq and is a predicted model, not a curated record. NCBI's taxonomy places the organism in Eukaryota, Viridiplantae, Streptophyta, Magnoliopsida, Malvales, Malvaceae. The transcript is spliced from 3 exons.